Molecule: ribosomal RNA, 448 nt
Filed under: uncultured bacterium
Lineage: Bacteria
Description: bacterial SSU rRNA
Rfam family: Bacterial small subunit ribosomal RNA
Source: RNAcentral
ACUCCUAUGGGAGGCAGCAGUGGGGAAUCUUGGACAAUGGGGGCAACCCUGAUCCAGCCAUGCCGCGUGAGUGAUGAAGGCCUUAGGGUCGUAAAGCUCUUUCGCCUGUGAUGAUAAUGACAGUAGCAGGUAAAGAAACCCCGGCUAACUCCGUGCCAGCAGCCGCGGUAAUACGGAGGGGUUUAGCGUUGUUCGGAAUUACUGGGCGUAAAGCGCGCGUAGGCGGAUUAGUAAGUCAGAGGUGAAAUCCCGGGGCUCAACCCCGGAACUGCCUUUGAUACUGCUAGUCUUGAGUUCGAGAGAGGUGAGUGGAAUUCCGAGUGUAGAGGUGAAAUUCGUAGAUAUUCGGAGGAACACCAGUGGCGAAGGCGGCUCACUGGCUCGAUACUGACGCUGAGGUGCGAAAGUGUGGGAGCAAACAGGAUUAGAUACCCGUGGUAGCGACUGA